UUGUGUGCAAACCAGACAAGGAGUGGGGCAAUUGCUCCCCCCAAGAAGAACCAGUUUAUCGCCGAGUAAGUUCCUAAGUCCCCAAAAAUUCUGCGUGGGCCAAUAAGACCCCAUAUGACUGAUGCAUCGUAGAACACAUGAUCACCAGGGCAGGUCCAAGGGCUGCCUGAUGAAAGGAGCUCACUGUUGCAGAUGUUGGGGAUUGUGUCCAUCAGCCACCAUGCUGUUCCAAGGUACACAAAUGCUGCAAUCAGAGUUCCGACCACCUGUCAUGUUCCAAGAGGUUGCUUAGUGAACACAAUAUGACAGGACCUUGUGUGCAUUUGUGUGGUAGAAAUGGCAGAUAAACUAUAUGGCUAAUAGCUUACCUGAGCCAUGAACAUAGUCCUUGGUGGAAUUUUCAUAUAGUGGCCCAACUUAAAAUCCUGGAGAAACGUCAGAGCUUGGGUCAUGCUGAUGUAGCCAUAUACCUUGAAACACAUAUUCGCGACGGGUCGUCCAGGGUACAAGUACCCAAUGAUGUACUCUGUGAUGAUGUUCAAUCCUGGAGUCUGCAUAAAUAAACAUACAACAGAAGAAUAAAAAACAUGGAACUGGUGCUCUAGUUCUGUAUGGCAUAAUAUGCAAAUCUUUAGAAUCCAUACCUGGUUCGUUGUUGCUGUGAUAAUUCCGACUGGGAGGGUGAAGAAAAAGGCAAUGGCACAUGCGAGCAAUACACCCCACCAGGGCAAUUGGAGUUGCUCAAUGUAGUAUUCGCAAGCAAAUACCGUGAUGGCAAUGUUGGCAAUAAGGAUGCAGAUGAACCACCACUCAGGAACCUGCUUGUAUCUCCUCAUAAGUUUUGUAUGUACAUCCAGUUUCUUCCCUUGAAAAGCUGAUUUACUUAACUGCAAAAUUUCACUGCACAAAAGCAUCAUGAUUCUUAGCUGUUGCCAUCAUGUGAUUCUGCAAAACUGACUGACAAAUUUUGGCAGGAUUUACCUUCCGUGGAAGAGGAGAACGUGAACGAUUGUUGCGGUAAGGGAUGCGAAACCGACACCAUAUGUGACAGAGAAAAAAGUGCUGAGGUAUAGUGGACCAUUCUUCUCGUAGGCCUCUGUGUCGAAAUGGAAAUGCUCGUCCACGAUGGUUGUGAUGUUGUACUUGUGCCCAGAUUCAGUGAAGAGCCCAGAGGAGAAGAUGGGGAAGUUCCGUGCUUUAUAGAAAUUAAACCAGUAGGCGAUGGGUGUGAAUACGUACAUGAUGGUGAGGAAGCCUACAGCGAUGUUUGCAGUGGCGAACCAAGGGCUGGCAAGAGGGCUCCCGAG
Molecule: long non-coding RNA, 1307 nt
Filed under: Brachypodium distachyon (stiff brome)
Lineage: Eukaryota; Viridiplantae; Streptophyta; Magnoliopsida; Poales; Poaceae
Description: long non-coding RNA (BDIS_LNC000974)
Source: RNAcentral